RNAcentral lists this unclassified non-coding RNA (500 nucleotides) under uncultured Glomus. RNAcentral describes it as "SSU rRNA". It matches the Rfam family "Eukaryotic small subunit ribosomal RNA", at positions 569 to 1077 of the family's 1831-position model. The record is from RNAcentral. Lineage: Eukaryota; Fungi; Glomeromycota; Glomeromycetes; Glomerales; Glomeraceae.
AGCAGCCGCGGUAAUUCCAGCUCCAAUAGCGUAUAUUAAAGUUGUUGCAGUUAAAAGCUCGUAGUUGAAUUUCGGGAUCAAUAUGUUGGUCGUGCCUCGGUACGUACUAGCUUAUUGGUUUCUCCUUUCUGAAGAACCAUGAUGUCAUUUAUUUGGUGUCGUGGGGAAUCAGGACUGUUACUUUGAAAAAUUAGAGUGUUUAAAGCAGGCUCACGCUUGAAUACAUUAGCAUGGAAUAAUGAAAUAGGACGUUUGAUUCUAUUUUGUUGGUUUCUAGGAUCGACGUAAUGAUUAAUAGGGAUAGUUGGGGGCAUUAGUAUUCAAUUGUCAGAGGUGAAAUUCUUGGAUUUAUUGAAGACUAACUACUGCGAAAGCAUUUGCCAAGGAUGUUUUCAUUAAUCAAGAACGAAAGUUAGGGGAUCGAAGACGAUCAGAUACCGUCGUAGUCUUAACCAUAAACUAUGCCGACUAGGGAUCGGAUGAUGUUAAUUUUUUAAUGA